CAGCCGCCGCGGUAAUACGUAGGGUGCGAGCGUUAAUCGGAUUUACUGGGCGUAAGCGUGCGCAGGCGGCCCGUUAAGACAGGUGUGAAAUCCCUGGGCUCAACCUAGGAAUUGCGCUUGUGACUGGCGGGCUCGAGUACGGUAGAGGGGGGUGGAAUUCCUGGUGUAGCAGUGAAAUGCGUAGAGAUCAGGAGGAACACCGAUGGCGAAGGCAGCCCCCUGGGCCUGUACUGACGCUCAUGCACGAAAGCGUGGGGAGCAAACAGGAUUAGAUACCCUGGUAGUCCACGCCCUAAACGAUGGGUACUAGCCGUUUGGUGCGCGAUAGCGCUGAGUGGCGAAGCUAACGCGAGAAGUACCCCGCCUGGGGAGUACGGCCGCAAGGUUGAAACUUAAAGGAAUUGGCGGG
RNAcentral lists this ribosomal RNA (409 nucleotides) under uncultured microorganism. RNAcentral's name for it is "bacterial SSU rRNA". It matches the Rfam family "Bacterial small subunit ribosomal RNA", at positions 509 to 917 of the family's 1533-position model. The record is from RNAcentral.